AACAGGAUUAGAUACCCUGGUAGUCCACGCUGUAAACGAUGUGUGCUGGAUGUUGGGUUACCUAGUAACUCAGUGUCGUAGCUAACGCGAUAAGCACACCGCCUGGGGAGUACGGCCGCAAGGAUGAAACUCAAAGGAAUUGACGGGGGCCCGCACAAGCGGUGGAGCAUGUGGUUUAAUUCCAAGCAACGCGCAAAACCUUACCAGGACUUGACAUGGGAUCGUCGUAUUCAGAGAUGGAUAUUCUCGCAAGAGCGGUCUGCACAGGUGCUGCAUGGCUGUC
RNAcentral lists this ribosomal RNA (283 nucleotides) under uncultured endophytic bacterium. Its description in RNAcentral is "partial 16S ribosomal RNA". It matches the Rfam family "Bacterial small subunit ribosomal RNA", at positions 771 to 1053 of the family's 1533-position model. The record is from RNAcentral.